This 72-nucleotide transfer RNA is filed under the name Camelus bactrianus (Bactrian camel). It matches the Rfam family "tRNA". Rfam says of the family: Transfer RNA (tRNA) molecules are approximately 80 nucleotides in length. The record is from Rfam by way of RNAcentral. Lineage: Eukaryota; Metazoa; Chordata; Mammalia; Artiodactyla; Camelidae. RNAcentral also lists the same sequence under 2 other names.
AGGGGGAUAGCUCAGUAGUAGAGUGCGUGCUUAGCAUGCAUGAGGUCCUGGGUUCAAUCCCCAGUCCCUCUG